RNAcentral lists this unclassified non-coding RNA (345 nucleotides) under Bombus terrestris (buff-tailed bumblebee). Its description in RNAcentral is "misc RNA ENSBTSG00005023906.1". The record is from RNAcentral. Lineage: Eukaryota; Metazoa; Arthropoda; Insecta; Hymenoptera; Apidae.
CUUGAGUUUAAACUUAUUAUAUUGCAGAAAUCAACAUUCAGGAUUCAAAAUUAAAUUUUUCUCCUUUUCUUUUAAAAUUUUUCUUUUAAAAGAAUACUUUAGGGUAGCGAAUACUUACCAGAUGUCUUCGGAAAAGCAUAAAUAUGCGAAACAGCAUGGACAGUCAGAUUAGUCUUAGUUCAGGUCUGACGACAGUUUUAUAACGAGUCUUAUAACAAUAACCAGAUUCCAGAUACUUGAAAGCAUCGGUUGAGAUUUGGAAAAUGAAAUAACGCGACGCAUGGUUCUCUUUUGGGACAUUGCCUUCAGUCGUGCGCGGACUUGAAAGGCCGAAGACUACUGUCG